RNAcentral lists this long non-coding RNA (3378 nucleotides) under Sus scrofa (pig). RNAcentral's name for it is "lncRNA (ENSSSCG00035041344.1)". The record is from RNAcentral. Lineage: Eukaryota; Metazoa; Chordata; Mammalia; Artiodactyla; Suidae.
AGACUUCCUCUUUGACUCAUGUUUUCGGAUAUGUUGUUUAGUUUCCAAGCGGUUGGAGGUUUUCCUGUUAUCUUUUUGCUAUUGAUAUCUAGUUUGAUUCCCAUGCGGUCAGAGACCACACUUUGUAUAAUUUUAAUUACUUAAAAUUUGCUGUAGUUUGUUUUAUUGCUCAGGAUGUGGCCUAUCUCAGUAUAUGUUCUUGGGUCCUUGAGAAGAGUACAUAUUCUGCUGUUGGUGGUGAAGUAUUCUAUAAAUAUCAAUUAGAGCUUAUGAAUUAAUGGUAUUUUUGAGUUCUUCUAUAGCCUUGCUGAUUUCCUAUCUCAUUGUUCUAUCAAUUACUGAGAGAAGGGUACUGAAAUUUUCACCUAUAACUAUGGACUUAUUUCUCUUUGUGGUUUUACCAGUUUUUAUUUUUCAUAUUUUGUUGCUCUGUUAUUUGGCAUAUAUGCAUUUAGAAUUGCUAUAUCUUCUUGGUGAAUUAAUCUUUCAGCAUUAUGCAGUGUCCCUCUAUGUGCCUGGUAAUUUCAUUUGCUUCAGUUAGCUUCCUUUGACAUUGCUCCUGUAGGUGAAGUGCAUACAUCACCUCAUUACUGCUAGACGUGUUAUGGGUUUUCCUUCUUAGCCUCUGUUGACUCCUGAAAAGGGAAGGAGCUCCUCAUCACUGCUAGGUAUGGAUGAGAAUUUAGCUUUCCCCACUAGCAUCAUCUGAUACCACUUGGCUGGUAGAGACAGGAGUUGCGUACUAUUGCUUCCUCAUGUGAUACCAGAGGGUGGGGUCUUAUCAUUGUUGGGCAGUGGUGAAAGUGCUAAUGUUCCACUAGGCUUCCUCUGACAACACCCCAAUGUUGGAGGGCACUCUUUAUAUCCUGGUGAUGAAGCAAUAAGGAAAAGCAUGUCUACUCCAUAUCCUCAGAAGUGGAAGUCUCCCCUUAUUGACAAUCUUGACCAAACUCCUACCUCUCUCUAUAAGCAUUCUCAUUUUAAGAAGGUACUUUGAAAUCAGCUCCAUUAACUUUACUAUUUGAGUAUAAAAUGACCUCUUUUUACAUAUUCUUGAAUGUAAAAGAUGUGAAUCACCUUAACUGCAAUCAAGUUUAGCCUGUUCUCUUUGGAAAGACAAUUGCCCCAAUCCCAUGCAAAUAUAGCCUCUUCUGACCUAAUGAUAAUAUAAAAAAUUCAGCCAGUUUGUAAGACAUGCACAGUAUCAACUGGCCUUUCAGGCAAUGGUUUUUCAGGAUGAAAUAAAAGAAAAACAAGAAGGAUUUUGUUCAUGAAACUUCUAACAUUGACCACAACAAUGACCUUCAUAAAAGGUAAGGUGCACCUAACAAAAAUUCUCUAGUAACAAAAGUUCUGGCUUGUUCAUUUAGGCAGCAUAAAAGUUCUAGUAUUUUUUAGGACAUCAUUUAAACUGCAGAUAUUUAAUAUUUUUCUAUACAUUUGGACCAAUUUUAAUAGCAUGAAAUAUAUCUUUAUUUGAUAACAAAAAGCAAUCCUGACCACAACCAGAAAUAAACUAGACCACUUUCAUGAUUUUUUCUUUUAAAAGUACUUUUCUAACUCUAUAAUUUUUUGAUGGUAGCAGAGUACAGAGUUUUAGGAAAUAUAUCUGGGGACAUACGUGAAACUGAAAGAAAUCUGUUUUUAAAUUUUGAAAGAACAAUUACUAUUUUAUUAUAAGAAAAGAUAGCUUGAUUCUUCACAAAUACCUAAUGACUUUGCAGCAAAACUGAAAAGGCUCUGAUAAAUGAAUUGUGGUUUGAUUUGAUUCUGAGUCUCAAUUGUUAACUUGAACUGGGUCUGUACCCAGUUCAAUAUUGUGCUUUGGAAUGACAGUGUGGCCCUGAUAGAAGGAAAGGAGGAAGUAAGGAGAAAAAGAAGAAGAAAGGAAGGAAGGUUAGUUCAAAUCUUUCAAAUAAUCAUAACUUAUGGGGAAAGGCCAUUAUUUUUCAUGCAUAUACCUCAUUGGCUUUGACUUAAGAAAUAGGUGAAAUAAAUUUUAAAAACUGGACUUUUUUUUUUUUGCCUUCUCAGUUUUCAUUCCCAUUCAUGUGGUUAUAGCAUUGCAGUUUCACUUUGGAGAUGUAUGCUUCCUAAGGGGUCAAGUGGUGACCCCAAGCUGGGUCAAUCACUCACUUCUAAUACAGAACAUUAAAAACUUUAAUAAGAUACAACAAAGCAACAAUAUUCAUUUUCACCUAAAAUUUUGUUCACUAGCCUCAUUCAACUACAAUAUAAAGUCUAAAAUUAUCUUGAAUAAAACCCAUCUGAACCUCUAGGUUGAGUGAUGUCCACGGUUAUUCAGAGCAUUUACCAGUAUUUACCUAAAAAUAUCCAGGUGCCUAUGUGACCAUGAUUUCAAUUCCAUGUUGAUUCUAGUAUCCAUAAGGAUGUUUACUACUUGAAAAAUAUCUUUAUCCUUGAAAAAUUCAACCAGAGUGUACAAGACAAGCGUCCUCUGAAAAAAUUAAGGUAAUCGGUCUGCCUUAAAUGGUACAAGCUGGAAUUCCACAGACAAACCACUGUCAUAACUCUCUCCACUGGAUCAUCUAAACAGGUAGCCUGUUCAUAAGACUUGCGUAUAAUUUGCACUAUGUUGCAGGGGAAUGUUUGUGGUCUCCUGUAGACUAUUUUAUAACAUUUUUCAUUAAAAAAAAACUUCUAAGAAAUCACAUUCACUGUAGGUAUUACUUGAAGGUACCAGAAGGCAUCAGCUUUUGGUUAGAGGGAAAUAUUUCUGUAGAAGGAGAGCAAGGAAUAGAAAAAUAUGCAACAUCUAGUGGAUUAAAGGCACAUUCUACAGUUCAUACUAAAAACUGGAUUACUUCAAUUGACAAUCAGAAUCAGGGUGCACAUUGGAGCUGAAAAUUACUGAAAUGUUUAUGAUUUUAUUUUAGAACUAAGGUGACCGAAUAUGGAGAUGUAAAAAGUUGAGUUGAAAGGAAAUACACUCAGUUAAUGGGUAAGUAAUUCCACACGCAGUAUUUGCCGUGAUGAAUUCAUGCCACCGCAGCCGGGGGAUUUAAAGCAAUACCCAGCAUUUAGAGAAAUAUGCCUUUGAGUGGGAGACUCUAAUGCAUAGAAACCCAUAAAAGUGAUGGCUUAUAACCUACUUUUGCUUUCAUUGUUGUACCACCAAUUGGCAUUUAUCCUUCAUGUCAAGUGGAACAGUCAUCUUAAUUGCCUUUUUUUUUUUUUGGUCAUCAGGGCGAACAUUUUCAUCUGAAAUGUCACUUCAAGUGAAAAACUUAAUUUGUGACAUCUCUCAAUACAAAUAUAUUUCUAAAUAGCUAUCAGUUUCCUAUAUAAUGUAAGAGGAAUAGAAAAAAUAAAUUUUCUAUAGAUCUCCAGAAUAAAGUAUGAAAUGAGAUACAGUCC